GUCUCCGGCCACACCACCCUGAACACGCCCGAUCCCGUCUGAUCUCGGAAGCUAAGCAGGGUCGGGCCCGGUUAGUCCUUGGAUGGGAGACCACCCAGGAAGACCAGGCGCUGUAGGCG
Molecule: ribosomal RNA, 119 nt
Filed under: Pteropus alecto (black flying fox)
Lineage: Eukaryota; Metazoa; Chordata; Mammalia; Chiroptera; Pteropodidae
Source: RNAcentral